This is a long non-coding RNA of Etheostoma cragini (Arkansas darter), 2022 nucleotides long. RefSeq lists it as uncharacterized. The transcript has 2 exons. NCBI's taxonomy places the organism in Eukaryota, Metazoa, Chordata, Actinopteri, Perciformes, Percidae. The record is from RefSeq and is a predicted model, not a curated record.
UCAUCUUGGCAUUCCUAAAGUAUUUCAGUGGACCUAAGAUGAUGAUCAGCCUCAAGAUUGCACAUUAGGAUUUUUGAAUGUUUUCUACCGGCCAAUCAGAAAUUACCUCCUCCAAUUCUCCAUUUGGCUGAAAUUUUUACCCACACAGUCAAUUUAAGCAAUUGUGCAAUAGAGUUUUGUCAAUUUCCAUCCAAUGUAUCAGGCUAAACCUGUUGAACUGGCAUUUGUGAAGGCUUUAGGCCUUUAGUGUUUUGGUUUUCAGAUGAGAACGGUCCUGGUGUGUGUAUGUAUGUAUGUAUGUAUGUAACUAAAUUGUAUAUAACUUUAUAUAAAUCACAUUGGUAAUUAAUUGACUCCCCUCACACUUGUUGUUUAAUGACUGCUGUUUGUCCUGUGUGACCUAAAAUUGGCCAAAACAAUUCUUUGGCGUGCCAGCAAAGGAGCACAAACACAUGCAGUAUUUCCGGACUCACUUUUUACACCACAGCAACAUGUUGUGUAUAAAACACUCUUGCUUUAUGUACUUAAAAGUGUCUGGAUACACAGACAUGCACACACUUGUGGUCUUGUUUUUUAUAAGUGUUUUUUUUUGGCAGGUUUGGCAGAAUUCAAUGCUUCACUUGGCCUGGUAACCUGCCAAGGAAGUGACUGGGAAGGAGACAAGAAGAGAAAGGAGAGAGAUAGAGCUGGGUUUCAGUCAUGGCAGCUUACAGAUCUCCUGUGGUUUAGUCCAGUGAGACAGAGAACACAUUAUGCCCUUCUUCCUGUGACACAUCUUUUAAAUUUAAAGAACCAGAAACAGCCAAAUUAAGGCUGACUAAGGCAAGGGUUUUUCACAGAUUGCACCAUAGCUGUGCUGUACAUGUCACAUCCUGAACAUUGAGCAUAACAAUAUGGAGGAUCUUUAGUAGCCAAGAUCUCUCCAAUGGUCUUCCACUUGAGUCUGUUUAUGCUUAUGGUUUGUGAAAACCCCUUAACGGACUGACCCAAUUGCAGAAAACAUUUCCAGAUGUGUGUGUAUGUUGUUGUCCAUCUCCUGAAGCGUUGGCAUGACACCCAAGGAACAUGUGAUCCAUCAAAAACCGUCCUAGCAACAUUCAGUAGCGCAGAAAUAAACGCAAUAAAAUCGCAAAGACAUCCAGGGAAUACAACAGCACAACAAAUCAUGUUACAGAUCAUAAGUGGGGGAUUUCUUUUCCACAUUGGUCCAACGAUUGUAGCUUUUUAUUUCUGAACAUAGAGUCUGGACUCAUUCGGAUAGCUACUCUGAAUCUGAUCAGCUCACGUGUCUCUUUACUUCCAUGUCUACUUAGUUUGCUCCUAACAAUGUCUCCCUAUCUAGUCUGGGAUAUGCAAAGACAUGUUCACGUGCAAACGGCAUAAUACAUUACAGGCUAGCUAGGUGACAAAAAGGAUGUGUCUACUGCUCUGUUUGGAGAAAACACAACACCAUGAAAGACAAUUUGUAAGAGUACCUCUAAUGGUUUUUCACAGCUAGUGGAGAUGAACAAGUUUCUCUCAGAGCUGGAUUCAAUAGAUUCUUGACAGUAAUGUUGACAUAUUUUUUUGUCAGACACCUAAAACCCCUUUAUUUGACAUUUAAUUGUAAAGUGCUCUCUGACAGGAAGUUCAUUUAUCAUGAAUGUAAAAAAAACAGACGUGUUCAAAUCCGCAGAGCAAUGACUAUGUAGAAAGGAUGUGUAUGAUCUCCUCAUGACAUCUUGUGGUUUGGAGUAAUGUCAUCACAUGAACACGGUACAGUCAUAGGAACAGGGGCAGUAUUCAGAGGAACAAGAGUACCUUUUUAGGUGGAUAAAGUUGACACUGGUUCAGUAGAGGCCGUGAGUGAGGUAGGCCAUGUUUGCAGUUAUCUGAAGUCUGAAAAAACAGUAUUUGAACGUCUGAUGUGCACACGUGGUGUAACCGCUACUAAACAAACAGCAGUUCACAUUUGUGCAAGUUGGAGCAAACAAGAUUGAAUUCCUGCCUCAGCUUUUACUGAAUAUAAAGUGACAUUAUCUA